This 482-nucleotide ribosomal RNA is filed under the name uncultured bacterium. RNAcentral's name for it is "partial 16S ribosomal RNA". It matches the Rfam family "Bacterial small subunit ribosomal RNA", at positions 28 to 507 of the family's 1533-position model. The record is from RNAcentral.
GAUGAACGCUGGCGGCGUGCCUAAUACAUGCAAGUCGAGCGAACACACGAGGCGCUUUCCUCUCUGACGUUAGCGGCGGACGUGUUAGUAACACGUGUAUAACCUACCUAUAAGUCUCGGCUAGCUUCGGUAAAUCGUACCUAAUACCGGAUAAUAUAUUGAACGGCAGGGUUCAAUAGUUAAAGACGGUUUUGCUGUCGCUUACAGAUUAGUUAGUUGGUGGGGUAAUGGCUCACCAAGCCAACGAUUUGUAGCUGGUCUGAGAGGACGAGCAGCCACACUGGGACUGAGACACGGCCCAGACUCCUACGGGAGGCAGCAGUGGGGAAUGUUGGACAAUGGGCGAAAGCCUGAUCAAGCAAUGCCGCGUGCAGGAAGAGGGCCUUCGGGUUGUAAACUGCUGUUGUACGGAACGAAACGGCGCGGGAUAAUACCCGCGGCUAAUGACGGUACCGUAAGAAUAAGCACCGGCUAACUACGUG